RNAcentral lists this long non-coding RNA (702 nucleotides) under Phasianus colchicus (ring-necked pheasant). RNAcentral describes it as "lncRNA (ENSPCLG00000022277.1)". The record is from RNAcentral. Lineage: Eukaryota; Metazoa; Chordata; Aves; Galliformes; Phasianidae.
UCUGUCUCACAUUCCUUUUAGCAACCAAGCCAGAUAAAAUUGUCUGUUCCUAUGUCUUCCAGUUUGCUUUCCAUCACUCAAUAUACACUGCCAGAGCUCCUGUCCAUGCUAUAAUGAAAGAACACCAUGACCUGAAGAUGUACAGAAGCAUUUCUAUUUUUCAGAACAGGAAGUGGCCACGUGUCUUAUUGCUGUUGCAUCUAGAAAAUUGGGUCGUGUGACACAAGUUCCUCUGCUCUCUUAUUGAUAAAAAUGAAUGUACUGCAGCAGUGACUCCAGUGCUGAGGAAGAAAAGACAACAACAACGAAAGAACAGAGUCCUGUAAUCACUGGAAGGAUCGUUCAACAAUGAAAGCAGAAGUAAAUUAGCGUGCAAAUGCCCAUGUGUCACACGGACAAUUGAAACUGGGAGGUGCAUGGAGUGCGUGCCUCGUGAAUAGCUGCACUGCACCUAUGAGUGCACAAAUCAAUGGAAGAACUGAAAAGAAUCUUGAACGGGAAGACAGAAAACUCAAAGAGCUGAUGAUGCCAGCUUGCCAGUUCUCUGGACAAGUAGUGAAGCUCAGAUUAUGAUGUGUAGAGGCUCUGUUAUCAAUGCAGCAGUAGAAGUCCUGAAUACAUUCAGCAAGAGCAGUUGACUGAGGCACCAAUGCAGGUAUGUGACACACUAUUUAAAGAGAAAUUUUUCAAGAAAAUGGAAAG